Molecule: small nucleolar RNA, 102 nt
Organism: Macaca fascicularis (crab-eating macaque)
Lineage: Eukaryota; Metazoa; Chordata; Mammalia; Primates; Cercopithecidae
Source: Ensembl
AUCUUUGUGUAGUGUAAGUGUGAUCAUUGGAUUUGCAUGCUCAUGUGUGAUAUGUGCCUCCCUCAAACCUUGUUAUGACACCAGCACAUUUUUCGUAUGACA